RNAcentral lists this long non-coding RNA (8153 nucleotides) under Sus scrofa (pig). Its description in RNAcentral is "lncRNA (ENSSSCG00005000685.1)". Lineage: Eukaryota; Metazoa; Chordata; Mammalia; Artiodactyla; Suidae. The record is from RNAcentral.
UGGCUGUGGCCCACUCACAUGUGAGCUUUACCACUUCACCCAGACUCUGCUGGCUUUAAUGUUGAUCUUACUUAAAAAUAACCCACUGAGCAAGGGCAGGGACCGAACCUAAAAUAACAUCUAAAAUAGUGUUGGACCAAAUGUGUGAGUAUCCUGGCCUCACCAAGGUGACACAUGAAAUCAUCCGGCAUAGAGGGGCUAUCUCCUUUGAGAAAGUCAGUCGGUAAUUAUUUAUUCAGCAGCUGUGAAGGGCCUAGUAUGGGCCAGGUAUAGUGCAGGGUGUUGGGGAGUUCAUUGUAAAGCCAAGCAGAUCAAGUCCCCAUCCUCGGGGAGCUCAUAUGUGGGAAGUGGUCAAGAUAUUAAAACCAUUUGCACUUGGUUUCAUGCCUUCAAGAAGCACCGCAAAUAUGACUUGAGUCAGUCAAACCCAAUUUUCCUUAUAAUAUGGUAUCGGGUUUUAGUGAGGUUGUGUCUUCAUGGACUUUAUGGUCAAAAAGGACCUCAGAUGUGAAGCAUGUGAUGACUAUAAACACAUUUCAACAGUGAUACACAACAUGCUGUCCAUUAUAUAGUUUUCAGAAGCACAUGUAACUGUUUUUGAUGACAUGUGCUUUUGACAGUGAAGAUUAACAAAUUGUGUAUAAUUGUAUUUGAAAGAAAAUAGCCAGGGUGUGGAGAGCAUAGUUAUUUAAUUUUUCAUCGUUUCAUUAUUUUCAUGGCAAGAUAGAUAAAAGGACCACUUAAUGAAGGGGUCAGGAUUUUGGAAGAAUUGCUUUGGGAAGACUUAGGACUCCUAGGUGAUGUUUGCUUGUUUCUUUGGUUGCUUUAAGUUGUUUGCUUUCUUGGCUUCUUUUUUUAUUGCAUUUUUGGGGAGUUUGGGUUUUUUUGUUUUUGUUUUUUUUUAGUCUGAAGGAAGGGCAGGCAUUAGAAACAAAGGCAUUACUUCAUAUUGUGUAGAACUGAGAAUCCGUUAUCUUAAAAUGAUGAGAUUAUCUGGGCUGGCUUGCUAGGUGCUGUAGCAGCCAUGGGCAUAGGAGUGUUGCACGUGUAAUCUACACUCUAAGAGUAUCAGUGUUAGGAUAUUUACUACACCACGAGCACCACCAGCUAGGGGUAGUAAUGCAAUCAAAGCUUUCGAAAGCAUCAUCCCGGAGUUCCUGUUGUGGCGCAGUGGUUAAUGAAUCCGACUAGGAACCAUGAGGUUGCAGGUUCGGUCCCUGCCCUUGCUCAGUGGGUUGACGAUCCGGCGUUGCCAUGAGCUGUGGUGUGGGUUGCAGAUGUGGCUCGGAUCCCGCGCUGCUGUGGCUCUGGCGUGGGCCAGCAGCUAUAGCUCUGGGGACCUCCAUAUGCCGCAGGAGCGGCCCAAAGAAAUAGAAAAAAAGACCCCCCCAAAAAAAAUCGCAUUUAAAAAGUAGUUAAGUGAGAGUUCCCUCACGGCUCAGUAGGUUAAGGAGCGGCGGUAGAUUCACGAUGGUCUUCAUAGAGUAGGAACGAUGUGGAAAAGCAUGAGGAGGUGGUGUUGGGAAGGAAAGAUGGCCUGAGCAGAGGGGCAAGGCCCCUGGGCCUCAUGCACUUCUGGAGAUCAGCAAGCCGAUCCCUGGACCAGGGUGGAAGCCACCCCAUUCCAUCCCAUCCCACCCCGGGCCCCCAGACGAGUGGGCGGCAGCCUGGCAAUCGGUUACGAAAGUAAGAAGCCCACCUGCUUGGGCCGCCCAUGCUAUAGGCACAAAACAGACUUUUCCCCAGGAAAGCCAACUGAAUCUGCUCUAGUAUUUUAGAAGCAGAUUGAUUGAAAAACAGAGUUCCGCUUCAUAGAGCAGAGCAAAGAAUAUUUUGGGCCUGAACAUUUUUUUCAGAGAAAAUGUUGCUGGCUGUUUGCUUUGGCCAUAGGAAAACUUCAGUAAUACUUUUGUGUGGUGUCUUUACUCUAAGCAGGCCAGGCCAGUGGUUCAGGGACUGGCCCUCCUGGCUUCCUACCAAGAUGAUUUAGCAGAGAGAUGUGUCUAUUUCAUAGUUAAACAAAGUGGUACCCAGGAAAAAGGUUUUUCGUAUACACCAAUUAACAUCGCCAACAAUAAUAUUCCCUGAAUACCCAAUUAGAGAAGUGUUGGUCUCUUCCAUGUCAUGUUUUCUCUCUGCUGAAUAAUUUCUUUCUUAACAGCAUAGAAAAUCUUCUUGGCCCAACACGCUCUAUUUGAGUUCGACCCAGCACACGUUUCUUUCUUUCGAGGCUAUUUGAGACAAAAUUGUGCGUGUUAUUGAAAAUGUGAACAUAAUCAGAAUGUCCCAUCUGGGGUGUCCUUAUUAUAAUUUGACAGUCCACUCUUUAAAAGACCAUGGCACUGUUCAAAAAGAAUAAAGCUGAUGUAUAUACCAAGACAUUAAAAAAGUGAGCCAAAUUCAAAGCAACAAAUACUAUAGAACAUAUAAUAUAAGCCCAUUUUUAAUGAAGUGAUCAUUAUUAUCUAUCUCCUUGGUUUUUUUUUUUUUUUCUUUUUAAGUGAUAGUUGGCAUUCAAGAAAGGGGCAGAACCAGGAGGGCCAGAGGAAAGUGUGGGAUGCUUGAGAGGCAGCUCUGGAGCCAACCGCCUGGGCUAGAAUCCCACCUCUACCACCCACCCACUGUGUGGUCUUGAGCAACUCACUCUACCUUUCUGUUUCUCAUGUUUGCGUCUGCAGAAAGGAGCUAAUAACAGUCCCUCCUUACUGGGUUGUUUUGAAGGUUUUAUGAAUCAGUCCGCAGUUUUGAGUGUUCUCUAAGUCAAUGUAGAAUAUACGCCAAGUACCCAAAGCAAUAUCUGAUUCAUUAAAUGCUUGAUACAUAUUAGCUGGUAGGAGGAAGAGGAGGUGAGAGAAUAAGGUUUCAAAAAGGAGAAGGAGCCUAAAGGAAAGAGAAUUCCAGAAGAAGGUGACCUUGGCAAAUAUACAGAUGUCUUCUAGGAUGAAGGAAACUGAUUGAAUUCCGUUCAGCCUCUGUAAAGAAGGUCAGAAGGGUACGUAUUUCACUACCUAAGUGAUAAACAAGGUCACAGAGGUCCAAGGGUUGAAAUAUAAGAAGGAUUUUUUUAAAGUUAGCUUUCCUUCGUUAUCAUGUAGACCUACGUUUCAGUCAUCAGUGAGCAAAUACUGAUGGAGGCCUUAGAAGGGGCUGGGCACUUCGGGAAACCAGCCCAAUAGCCCUGCCAGCCUGGAGCUAUUUUUCGAGUGGGUUUAAAGUUGGAAAACUAUUGCGAUCGUUUGUCUCAUCAUGUGUGGAUGUGUAAUGUGCCUGAGUGUUAUGGUAGCUACCUCAGAGUGAUUCAUUAGUAACUAGGAAAAAAAAUCAUGGUAUUACCUUUAAAACAUAGACAACUCUUGAUUUUCUGUGCUAAUGAGGAAUCACAGGAACACAUAUAGUUGAUAAAUUAUGUUUGUUUUACCUGUACGUUCAGGAAAUCAUCAGUUUGGCCUUUGCGGUUUAAAGCCUGUCUCCAUCCGUUUGGAUUUCUGGUUGUCCUCCAUCCCCGCCCCUCCUGCCUAAUUUGCAAACGGUCACGUGGGCCCAGGGGAGCGUGGAGAAGCCGCUGUCAGGUGAUCACCGUUAGGUUCGAAGUGGUGUCUUGGUCCCUGAGUGGGGUGACCUUGGCAAAUACCUUAUCACCUUCUCCAAUAAAAUAAACGCAAGCGAGUCCCUGAACCACCGGGGCUUUCAGUUACUACCCCUGCCCACCCUGAAGAGGCCUGGUGAGAGCCAAGAGCCUAUCUUGUAAAUCUCUGAUUAUUCAGACAGGAAAGCCAGACAUUUCCUAGUUUAGCAGAAUUAAAAUGUGAAGGGUGCUGUCUGGGAGGUGCCAAAACAGCUGGAAGCCAAAUUUAAGAAAUUAGAAUAAUUAGUUGGUCCCAAAGGGUAUCCUUCACUGUUAGAAUUGCAUUGCCAAGGAUUGAGCUGGGGAGUUUGGCCUCCAGGGAAGAGUUAACAAAUCAGACAGGAACAUUACAAAAAUUUCCACUGAAAAAGAAGUUCCUUGGAAGUGGAGCUGAGAGGCUUGCUAAUUGCAGCUUACUCUAAGCCUAAUGACAGCCCUGCAGCUUCCGUGAAGAAAGCACAGGACGUUUGAAUGAUGGUGAGGGGAGAGGGGACUCCGGGCAGAUGGAUCCGAAUCAACCGGGCAAAAUGAGUCCUUUAGACUCUGACCCCUUUUGGAGUGAACUGCAUUGGGAGAGGAGUCAAGUUUGCUUUCUCCAAGAUUCUUAACCAACAGUAAAGAUUGAUAAAACACAUUUUCCAGAAGUUCAACCAUAUAAUAACUUUAGCAGGCACAUCAUAAUCCACUGCCUCGAUUUCAAACAUUUCCUUGAUGUAGGGUGAUCACGGUGGAAAGGAAUGUUAUUCUUCUCCAGCCAUUGGGAAGAUUUUGUCGUCCUUAAUCCCAGAAACUAAAUCACUGGCUACUUCAGAGGCUCUGAUCUGAAUCUUAAUUGAUGCCCAUUGCCUUUUUUAGACUCCUAUGUUUGAUUUUAACCAGACAGAUCCAGGAGGAAGGAUUCAGGUGGCCGUGAUGGAGAAAGGGUAAUAUUUUGGCCAGUCAUAUGGUGAGCCUAUUCCAAAACCCUUUCCAUUUAUAAUGUAACUCUGUAGGGCUUUCCUCCUGAGGUAGCCCUCCUUUCGUGACAUCCAGUGCAGUGGAAACUAGGUUUUCGUUUUCUGUUUGAUUGUCCCCUUCAGUCUUGAUGCUAGUUAACGUCGUUGGAUCGUAACAUUAUUAGCUAACAUUUGGGUGCUGAUUUACACAUAAUUCCAUAGGCCUGUUGACCCGCAUCAACUUAAUUAAUGUUCACGAGAGCCCUAGGGAGUAAAUCAUUCUAUCUUCCACGCUCCAGAUGAUGAAACUAAGGAGACGCAGGUGGUAUAGGUAAAGUGACUUACGCCAGGUUGGUCAAGUGACCCUGUGACUGUGCUGUAACUGAAAGCCCAGUCUUUUAACUAAGUCGUUUGCUUAAAGUCGUUCAUCUAAGGACUAAGCAGCUCCUUUCAGUGGAUUCUUCCAGCAUAGAUGCUUUUGGUGUGAAGACACUGCUUUUUCUUAGGGGAAGAAUUAUCUAUUUAAAGAUCGGAGGCUUUUCAUUUUAUUUCCAUCUCUCCCACAUUGCUUUUAAAGUGCUGACCACCAAGAGCGAGGAUUUUCCAUGGACGAAGCUACCAUAUGUGUGAAGCAAUCUUUGGAUACCACCAGUUUUUCUUCCUAAAUCGCAUUUCCUUUUUCUGGCACUUGUUAUGACCAAGUCCUCUUUUCAAAUACUUGACAUCCAUGAGCUCCUUCCAAAUUCACUUUUAUCAAAAUGUACUUGUAAGGGAAGUUCCCAUUGUGGCUCAGUGGUUAAUGAACCCGACUAGCAUCCACGAGGACACGGGUUCAAUCUCUGGUCCUACUGAGUGGGUUAAGGAUCCAGCGUUGCCGUGAGCUAUGGUGUAGGUGGCAGAUGAGGCUCAGAUCCCGCGUUGCUGUGGCUGUGGUGUAGGCCAGCGGCCACUGCUCCGAUUGGACCUCUAGCCUGGGAAUUUCCAUAGGCCUCAGGUGCGGCCCUAAAAAUACAAAAAGACCCCAAAAAAAUGUGCCUGUAGGAUAGGACUUGAUCUCAUUGAUUUCAGUUGAUAGAAUGCCAAGCCGUUACUCUCCUGCAAGCCAUGUUUUUUACUGUGAAAGAAAUCUGCUUCUCUAGUAAAGGGGGUUUCGAGGAGUAGAGGGAUGAGGUUUUAAAAUACAGCAUCUUCCUUUAUUCUCGAAAUUCUAUCAUGUAGAGGUACUGUGCUUUAGCCAACUCAGCUCUAGCUAGGACAUCUUGAUCCCCCAACUAGGGUGUCAUAGCAACUUGCUGUACGUUUUCUGUGAUGUAGAGAGAACAGGCAUUUAGCAGAAGGCUGUUUUUCUUCGAAGCCAGUGCAAGAAGAGGUCAGUGGAAUGCUGGGGCCGUUUAGUUUCCUCGGUGGAAAGAAACAGAAAGUUUCUGCAUUAAUUAGAAGGUCUGAGAGGGAGCAAGGGGUAAGGGCGAUUGAGAAAUAACUGCAGCAAACAGAAUGCUAGGUAUUCUGUGUGAGAGCGUGUUCCAUUUGGGAAUGGGUGAGAAUAGAAAAUACUGUGACCAUCGUGAAAGGGGCACAGCUAAAACUGCCCCUCCUUGCCCAGCUUCAGCCCCAGUUGAACCUGCUCUACUCAUUCCAUCUCGGUCACUGCAGUGCCCAGCACCUCCAAGUUAGACACCAGGAGUCCACAGAGUAGGCAAGGAAAGGGGAGAGAAGGUGUAGAAGCUCCAUUUGGCUCUUCAGAAAAAAAGUUUUAUAAUAAAUAUUAUUGUUAAAAAUAGCGCAAUGAAUUCCAUACCGUGCCCAUCCCUUUCCCGCCUCGUGGAUGUUUCAGCUUUUUGGAGAUAUUCUACUUGUCACUGAGCUGUGGGAAGUGUAGAGUAGAUUUCCUGAUUAGCAGGUGGAAGGAUAGACAGUUGGUGCAUAAAAAAAUAAUAAUGGUUUUAUUGAGCACUUAGUAUGUUCUGAGCAAACACACCACCGUUGACUCACAAUCACCCAAUGAAGGAAGUAGUAUUACUAUAAUUCUGGAGCCCCCAAAGGAGUUAGAAGCCAAGGGCUCAGGAACCAACCCUCUUGGUUCAAAUCCUGGUUGCACUCUGUGCCUGCUGUGUGACUUUAAGACAGUUACUUAACCUCUCCAUGAAUCAGCUUCGUCACCUUUAAAACUGGGUACCAAUGUCACACAUCUGUGUCAGGGUCUCCUAGCCCACCCCCAGUUUCAGUGACUCACCUAGGAGGACUCAUAGGACUCAGCAUGUGAUCUUACCCACAACUAAGAUCUGUUAGGUCAAAUGGAAAAUUAAAAUCAGCAAAAAGGAAGGCACAUAGGGAAAAGUCCAGAGGUAACCAGGCAGAAGCUACCAAGAUUCAUCUCCCACUGGAGUCACACAGGACAUACAUAAUUAUUCCUGCAAUGAAUUAUGACAGGUGUGCCGCAGUGUCCACCCGGGAAGCUCAGUGGAGACUUAGUGCUGGAAUUUUGACUGAGGGCUGGUCACUUGGGCACCCUCUUUGUGGCACAUACCAAAAUUCCAGACUCCCAGAAGAGAGUAGGUGCUUAGCAUAAACCCCAUUGUUUGCACGGUUAGGUACAGUGAGUAACUCCUAUCAGGAAAUAAUAGGAGGCCUCCUGAAAUCCAAGUUCCCGGAUACCUGUUAAGAGUCAACCUUAUAGGAGUUCCUGCAGUGGCACAGUGGUUAACGAAUCCAACUAGGAACCAUGAGGUUGCGGGUUCCAUCCCUGACUUUUCUCAGUAGGUUAAGGAUCCAGCAUUGCCGUGAGCUGUGGUGUAGGUCGCAGACACGGCUCGGAUCCCGUGUUGCUGUGGCUGUGGCAUAGGCCCACGGCAGCAGCUCUGAUUAGACCCCUAGCCUGCGAACCUCCAUAUGCUGAGGGAAGUGGCCCUAGAAAAGGGAAAAUAAAAAGAGUCAACCUUAUAAGCAAGGCUUUCUAAAGAUAGCAGCUUCAGGCCAGCUGUGUUAACUCCGUUUUGCACAUCACCUCAUUGGAUUAUUGAGAAAUUAGAUGACGUAAUAUAUCCAUGUUUACAACAGUGCUUUAUACUUAGGAAGCCCUAAAAAUUUUUGUAGCCAUUAUUGGUAAAUGGGAAAAAUUACUGAAGCUUAGAAUGACUGCAGAGUCAGGCCUAUCUGUAAUCUGAAUUUACAUCUACCUGACUUAAAAAGAUCUAUGCAUUUACUCACUUCACUCAAGCAGAAACAAAAUAGCAUCCUUCAGACUUCCGCUAGGAAUGGAGAUAGUGGAUCCCUCCUUUCUCAGAUUUGUAGUUGAUGGGGUCUGUAAGUGUAGCUGUUUUGAAAAUAUAGCUUUCUCUAGCUACAAGUAAUAUCACACCAUGGUGCAGAAUUCUAAUUAGUUAAACCUACUCCUAGAGUGUAGACAUGAUCUAGUACUUUACUGCCCUAAAUGAGCAUAUUUUGGAUGUACCACAGUCUUUCUCUUCCACUCGAUUCGGAAUGCUUUGUUUAUGUCUCUAAUUUUUCAGAAUACCCUAAUACUCUUAAGAAUUUUCUUUUGUAAGAUCUAGAUAGAGAGUUUCCGCUGUGGCUCAGCAGUUUAAGAACCCAAC